RNAcentral lists this ribosomal RNA (261 nucleotides) under uncultured bacterium. Its description in RNAcentral is "partial 16S ribosomal RNA". It matches the Rfam family "Bacterial small subunit ribosomal RNA", at positions 524 to 782 of the family's 1533-position model. The record is from RNAcentral.
UACGUAGGGUGCGAGCGUUAAUCGGAAUUACUGGGCGUAAAGCGUGCGCAGGCGGUUUUGUAAGCCAGGUGUGAAAUCCCCGGGCUCAACCUGGGAAUGGCAUUUGGGACUGCAAGGCUGGAGUGCGGCAGAGGAGACUGGAAUUCCUGGUGUAGCAGUGAAAUGCGUAGAUAUCAGGAGGAAUACCGAUGGCGAAGGCAGGUCUCUGGGCUGACACUGACGCUCAUGCACGAAAGCGUGGGGAGCAAACAAGGGAUUAGA